Molecule: long non-coding RNA, 773 nt
Filed under: Gallus gallus (chicken)
Lineage: Eukaryota; Metazoa; Chordata; Aves; Galliformes; Phasianidae
Description: long non-coding RNA NONGGAT006473
Source: RNAcentral
CUGUUAAUAAUUCCCAGAACCCUAUUUCCAGAAAGUAUCAAUUCUCUCCAAGGUCACCUUUUAAGAGGCAGUGAGCUGUGUCGUACUGUUUGAAGGAUCCUGAAAACUUGCUGCUGAACAGCAUUCAGUGUGGCAAAGGAGUAGAAAAUGUCUUCUCUUACCUGCUGACAGUUGAGUGACCCAGCUGUAACUCCUUCCUUGCUGCUGCUCCUACUACACUGACAAAGGAGAGGAAACAUUUGCAGCAAGCCCUGCAGCAGAGAAUGGAUCCAUAGGGUACUUGGCUACAUGGUGCUGUCUGGGGCCCAGUUUAACCUCACCUUGUCUUUCCAGCAGUCCCAGAACUCUUGAAAAAUGUGGGUGGAGAUCCAUUACACAUGCUUACUCGCCAUGAAAAACAGUGUGAACAGCCAACACAGACUCCAGGUGGUGGAUCAGCAUUAAUCAUAAUAGACCCAGGGGCAGAGGAUUGGCAGGAUACCACAAGAAAUGGUUGUAUGUCCAUCUCCUUGAACUCUGUGACCUCUGGUGGGGGACAGAGAUAUGAAGGCCGGUGUCGCUGGCUUUGUCUUCUAUUCUAGCUAUCAUAAACCACGAUGUGCUGUACGUAUGUAUCCUUUUGCCUGCAGGAAAGGGGUGUGUGAUGUAAUCCUCUGGUAGUAGAUAUAGGCAUUCUGGACUUUUUUGAGAGCUUUCACAGAAAGAAAGGUAGAAACAUGUCCUUCAAAUUCAGUUGGAUUUACUAGGAGCAGCUUUCAUUUUGUCACAUACCA